RNAcentral lists this non-coding RNA (934 nucleotides) under Typhlonectes natans (Rio Cauca caecilian). RNAcentral's name for it is "12S ribosomal RNA". It matches the Rfam family "Bacterial small subunit ribosomal RNA". The record is from RNAcentral. Lineage: Eukaryota; Metazoa; Chordata; Amphibia; Gymnophiona; Typhlonectidae.
CAAAAGCUUAGUCCUAACUUUAAUAUCAAUUAUGGCCAGCCCUACACAUGCAAGUCUCAGCGAUCCAGUGACAACGCCCGGCACGCCCACCAGGAGCCGAUCUCAGGCACAAAAAUUAGCCCAUAACAUCUAGCAACGCCACACCCCCACGGGCCCGCAGCAGUGACUAACAUUGCCCAUAAGUGAAAACUUAACUCAGCCAUGGCCAACAGAGUUGGUAAAUCUUGUGCCAGCCACCGCGGUUAAACAAGAAACUCAAAUUGAUAUACCACGGCAAAAAGCGUGACAAAGAAGACUCAAACCACUAAGAUUAAAAACUUUCUUGGCCGUAAAACGCUUCAGAAAAGUAACACACACAAUCAUCGAAAGUAACCUUAAACCCAUGAAAAUUCUGACAUCACGACUGCUAAGACACAAACUGGGAUUAGAUACCCCACUAUGCCUAGCUGUAAACCUCGACCACCUGGUCCGCCAGAGCACUACGAGCAGCAGCUUAAAACUCAAAGGACUUGGCGGUGCCCCAAAUCUACUUAGAGGAGCCUGUUCUAUAAUCGAUAACCCACGUUAAACCUCACCAUCUUUUGAUCCUCAGCCUAUAUACCACCGUCGCCAGCUAGCCUUUUAAAAGAAAUAAAACUAGCCAAACAGGACAGCCCAGAUACGUCAGGUCAAGGUGUAGCACAUAAGAUGGAAGAAAUGGGCUACAUUUUCUUUUUAAAGAAACACGGAAAGUCUCAUGAAAAACAACUCCAAGACGGAUUUAACAGUAAGCGGGACCAAUCAUAUCCCUCUUAAACCAGCCCUGGGGCGCGCACACACCGCCCGUCAUCACUCAUCAAAUACAAACUAAAAAUUAAUAAACAUAACCUAUUCCCCAAGAUGAGGAAAGUCGUAACAUGGUAAGUGCACUGGAAAGUGCCCUUGGAUUAUUAAC